AUGAUGGUGACUCAGUCCUUUCAGGCUGUCUGUGUGUACCUUAACUUUUUCAGGAGGAGGAGAUGGCCGCCGUUUUACGGUCUCCUAACCAAUUGUGCUAUCGUUUCUGCAACCGUAUCUUACGGAAGAAAAGAGCUUCUGGAUAUCAGGACAGCGAUCACUAACCUCGGAUUAGACAAAGACUUCUUCAACAACAACAACAAGCAGGACUCAUACGAUAUUCUCCAAACAACCCACGGGGCAGACAUCCCAAUUAUUCGCAAAAGGAAGCGACGCAGAGGACGAAGAGCCGGAUGCCUUGUCCGGACCCGCAGAAGACAACUAGGAAAGCUGCCAUUACCGUCAAUAUUACUUGCCAACAUGCAAUCAUUGGGCAAUAAACUAGACGAGGUACGAUUACGAAUAUCCUACCGGGACAUCAAAAACUGUAAUAUCCUAUGCUUCACGGAAUCGUGGCUGAAUGACGACAUGGAUAUUCAGCUAGCGGGAUACACGCUGCACCAGCAGGAUAGAACAGCACAGUCCGGUAAAACGAGGGGCGGCGGUCUGUGCAUAUUUGUAAACAACAGCUGGUGCAUGAAAUCUAAGGAAGUCUCUAGAUUUCGCUCGCCUGAAGUAGAGUAUAUUGUGAUAAAAUGCAGGCCACACUACUUGCCUAGAGAGUUCUCAGCUAUACUUUUCAUGGCUGUUUAUUUACCACCACAGACAGAUGCUGGCACGAAGACCGCACUCAGUCAGCUGUAUAACGAAAUAAGCAAACAGGAAUCCACUCACCCAGAGGCGGCGCUCCUAGUGUUCGGAGACUUUAAUGCAGGGAAACUUAAAUCAGUUCUACCAAAUCUCUAUCAACAUGUUAAAUGUGCAACCAGAGGGAAAAAGAGUCUAGAUCACCUGUACUUCACACACAGAGAUGCGUACAAAGCUCUCCCUCGCCCUCCAUUUGGUAAAUCCGACCACAACUCUAUCCUCCUGAUUAAAUUAAAGCAGGAAGCACCAGUGACUCGGUCUAUAAAAAAAUGGUCAGAUGAAGCAGAUGCUAAACUACAGGACUGCUUUGCUAUCACAGACUGGAACAUGUUCCGGGAUUUUUCUGAUGACAUUGAGGAAUACACCACAUCAGUCACGGGCUUUAUCAAUAAGUGCAUUGAGGACGUUGUCCCCACAGUGACUGUACGUACAUACCCCAACCAGAAGCCAUGGAUUACAGGCAACAUUCGCACUGAGCUAAAGGGUAGAGCUGCCGCUUUCAAGGUGCGGGACUCUAACCCGGAAGCUUACAAUAAAUCCCACUAUGCCCUGCGACGAACCAUCAAACAGGCAAAGCCGUCAAUACAGGGCUAA
This 1341-nucleotide long non-coding RNA is filed under the name Oncorhynchus mykiss (rainbow trout). Its description in RNAcentral is "lncRNA (ENSOMYG00000071136.1)". Lineage: Eukaryota; Metazoa; Chordata; Actinopteri; Salmoniformes; Salmonidae. The record is from RNAcentral.